AGAGUUUGAUCAUGGCUCAGGAUGAACGCUAGCUACAGGCUUAACACAUGCAAGUCGAGGGGCAGCAUUGGAGUAGCAAUACUCAGAUGGCGACCGGCGCACGGGUGAGUAACACGUAUCCAACCUGCCGCUUACUCGGGGAUAGCCUUUCGAAAGAAAGAUUAAUACCCGAUGGUAUAAAGAGUUCGCAUGUUCUCUUUAUUAAAGAAUUUCGGUAAGCGAUGGGGAUGCGUUCCAUUAGAUUGUUGGCGGGGUAACGGCCCACCAAGUCUACGAUGGAUAGGGGUUCUGAGAGGAAGGUCCCCCCACAUUGGAACUGAGACACGGUCCAAACUCCUACGGGAGGCAGCAGUGAGGAAUAUUGGUCAAUGGACGAGAGUCUGAACCAGCCAAGUAGCGUGAAGGAUGACUGCCCUAUGGGUUGUAAACUUCUUUUAUAAGGGAAUAAAGUGAGGGACGUGUCCCUUUUUGUAUGUACCUUAUGAAUAAGGAUCGGCUAACUCCGUGCCAGCAGCUGC
Molecule: ribosomal RNA, 518 nt
Filed under: uncultured bacterium
Lineage: Bacteria
Description: bacterial SSU rRNA
Rfam family: Bacterial small subunit ribosomal RNA
Source: RNAcentral